CCUACGGGAGGCAGCAGUGGGGAAUAUUGGACAAUGGGGGGAACCCUGAUCCAGCGACGCCGCGUGAGUGAAGAAGUAUUUCGGUAUGUAAAGCUCUAUCAGCAGGGAAGAAAGAAAUGACGGUACCUGACUAAGAAGCCCCGGCUAACUACGGGCCAGCAGCCGCGGUAAUACGUAGGGGGCAAGCGUUAUCCGGAUUUACUGGGUGUAAAGGGAGCGUAGACGGCGAUGCAAGUCUGAAGUGAAAGGCGGGGGCCCAACCUCCGGACUGCUUUGGAAACUGUAUGGCUGGAGUGCAGGAGAGGUAAGUGGAAUUCCUAGUGUAGCGGUGAAAUGCGUAGAGAUUAGGAGGAACACCAGUGGCGAAGGCGGCUUACUGGACUGUAACUGACGUUGAGGCUCGAAAGCGUGGGGAGCAAACAGGAUUAGAUACCCUUGUAGUC
This 443-nucleotide ribosomal RNA is filed under the name uncultured bacterium. Its description in RNAcentral is "partial 16S ribosomal RNA". It matches the Rfam family "Bacterial small subunit ribosomal RNA", at positions 338 to 795 of the family's 1533-position model. The record is from RNAcentral.